Spinacia oleracea (spinach) is the source of this 424-nucleotide long non-coding RNA. RefSeq lists it as uncharacterized. The transcript has 3 exons. Lineage: Eukaryota; Viridiplantae; Streptophyta; Magnoliopsida; Caryophyllales; Amaranthaceae. The record is from RefSeq and is a predicted model, not a curated record.
GCGUUUUUGGUUCGACCAACAACCACCAGCAACCACCCGUGCCGACACCUGACCCGACCAGCGCCACCUCUGCUAGCCGCCGCUGUCCCCGCCGUGCCCUAGUCACCGCCGGCCAGCACUCCUCCUCUCCUUUUGGCGGAGAAUUCUUUGUGGGUGACUUUUGAAUUCGUUAAAGUGGCCUAUCAGUUUGUUUACACAAGUCUCUAAGGAUCAAUAAGCAUUGUCCAUCUGCAGGUUUGAAGAUGUUGCAUCAUUGGGAUCGGGAAUAGAGAGCUUGUAUUUAGUUUUGUUUUGAUAAGUUGACUUGGGUUUGUUUAAUCGGACUUUAAACUUGUCGUACUAUUUAUAUUUCCUUAUUUUCUUUUAUUGGUUUUUGGGAUUAAACCUGUAAUCGAUUAUUUAUAAACCUAAAGUUAGUUUUAUG